Molecule: transfer RNA, 68 nt
Filed under: Clostridiales bacterium
Lineage: Bacteria; Bacillati; Bacillota; Clostridia; Eubacteriales
Description: tRNA-Ala
Rfam family: tRNA
About the family: Transfer RNA (tRNA) molecules are approximately 80 nucleotides in length. Their secondary structure includes four short double-helical elements and three loops (D, anti-codon, and T loops).
Source: RNAcentral
GGAUAUAGCUCAGUUGGGAGAGUGCUUGAAUGGCAUUCAAGAGGUCAGGGGUUCGAGACCCCUUAUCU